This 305-nucleotide ribosomal RNA is filed under the name uncultured bacterium. RNAcentral describes it as "bacterial SSU rRNA". It matches the Rfam family "Bacterial small subunit ribosomal RNA", at positions 338 to 639 of the family's 1533-position model. The record is from RNAcentral.
CCUACGGGGGGCAGCAGUGAGGAAUAUUGGUCAAUGGCCGGAAGGCUGAACCAGCCAAGUCGCGUGAGGGAAUAAGGCCCUAUGGGUCGUAAACCUCUUUUGUCAGGGAGCAAAGGCGUCCACGUGUGGACGAGAGGAGAGUACCUGAAGAAAAAGCAUCGGCUAACUCCGUGCCAGCAGCCGCGGUGAUACGGAGGAUGCGAGCGUUAUCCGGAUUUAUUGGGUUUAAAGGGUGCGUAGGUGGUUAAUUAAGUCAGCGGUGAAAGUUUGUGGCUCAACCAUAAAAUUGCCGUUGAAACUGGUUG